Molecule: long non-coding RNA, 346 nt
Filed under: Calidris pugnax (ruff)
Lineage: Eukaryota; Metazoa; Chordata; Aves; Charadriiformes; Scolopacidae
Description: lncRNA (ENSCPUG00000019688.1)
Source: RNAcentral
UUUGAGAUGGCAGAGAUUCUUCAGUCUAUCUGAGCUACUGGAGAUGCAAUAGCAAAGGAGAUCCCACUCCAUGCUGGGGCACAGCUGAGCAGUUGGUUGUAAGCCAGCGCCUGAUGCUUUGUGGGGUGCAGAAUAUCUUUGCAAAGACAAUUUUCUAAUCCCUUGCUUUUCUUUUGCCCCAUCCCUGGUAGGCUAAUUGUCCAGCAGGUACUUCAGGAGCUGAAACAAUAUCAUGGGGCGAAGCAGGGAGUUUGUGUGCCAGAAGGCAGCGAUUCUUCCCAGCAGAACCUCACCUGGUUUGAGUUCCUGUCCAACGAAAAUGAGGACAGUGGAAAGACUGAUAAAG